Passer domesticus (house sparrow) is the source of this 15728-nucleotide RNA transcript. It is a transcript of the gene named interleukin-2 receptor subunit alpha-like, with no coding region annotated. The transcript has 10 exons. The record is from RefSeq and is a predicted model, not a curated record. Lineage: Eukaryota; Metazoa; Chordata; Aves; Passeriformes; Passeridae.
UGGAAUGCUGUCCCCGCCGCAGCUGCCCUCCCAGCGGCGGAGGAGCUGCCCGGCCGGAGAAUGAGCCCGGGUUCCUUCGGGUUCUCACGGGGCAAUCAGAGCUCGGAGGUUUUAUUUAAUCACAGAACCCCCGAACCGCCGAGAGCGUCCGAAGGAGGCCACGGGGGUGGGGAAGGGUUUGGAGGGCAGCGCUGAGGGCGCUUGGGUUGUUUAGGAGCGCUGGAGAACCUUUCUGGAGUGUCCAGUUCUGGGCCCCUCGGUUUAGGGAGGAUGUUGAGAUGCUUGAGCGUGUCCAAAGGAGAGCAACGAGGCUGGUGAGGGGCUUGGAACACAAGCCAUAUGAGGAACGACUGAGGGAGCUGGGAUUGUUUAGCCUGGAGAAAAGGAGACUCAGAGGUGACCUUAUCACUCUCUUCAACUUCCUGAAGGGUGGCUGUGGUGAGCUGGGGGUCGGUCUCUUUCUCAGGGCAACAACAGAUAGAACAAGAGGACAGAGUCCCAAACUGCGCCAAGGGAGAUACAGGCUAGACUUAAGGAGGAAGUUUUUCACAGAAAGAGUGGUCAAAUACUGGAAUCAUCUGCCCAGGGAGGUGGUGGACUCACCAUCCCUGGAUGUGUUUAAAAAAAGACUGGAUGUGGCACUUGGUGCCAUGACCUAGUUGAGGUGUUAGAACAUGGGUUGGACUCCAUCUUAAAGGUCCCUUCCAACCAGAAAUUCUGUGAUUCUGUGAUCCAGCGUCCUCCCGAGAGCGGCAGGGCAGGCGCUGCUCCCUGAGGGACAGCACCCGAGGGCAGCGCUGGGUUUGUGCCCAGCACUGUUCCCUCUGGAUGUUCUGUUAUCAUUUUCCAUACUGUGUUUCUAACUCCUGAAGCGAUCUGUGGUGGUUUGUUCAGUGAGUAACCUGUCUCCACUGCCGUUCAGUAUUUCCAGUUACUUACCAAGGGCGCCUAAGAUUUUGGGAGGGAAAAUGGAGACAAUAUCAGGCUUCUGAGUCUGGCAACACAGUUGCACUGAGAAAGUUACAAAAAACCAGAAAACUUACUCCUCAUCAAGUGUAUUUCAAACAAUUCUGUCUUUUAUUCCAGCAUGUUUGCUGCCAUUUUACUGUGCCAUCACUGCCACUGAGGUCAUUGGGUAAUUGUUAUUGCAAAACAUUUGGCUAUUAGAAGGUCUUGCUGCAUUAUGUCAUUUGGGCCUGAAGUGCACUUGUUCAAUCUGCAGAAGCAAUUUUUGUUUUCUAAAAACCUUAAAAUUCUGCAUCUGUCUGAGCCUGGAAUUUACCCAACCGUACCAAUUUCCCAGCCCAAUAUUUUGCACUAAUUAUUUAAUAUCUUCUUUCUGACAUAGGCAAAAAUGGAUUUUCAUUUUUACUUACACUGGGCUGGUGUAUCUCCAGCUCAUACCAAACACGUGAAAUAAAUGAGCUGAGUUUUCUAAAAAUUAUGGCCACUUGCACCACAUGAUGAUGCAAAUGAACAGGCAAGACUGUCUGCAAAGCCAAACACCAGCCUUGAAGCAGAUAGAUCUGGCCCCUCAACCUCAAAAUUUUACAAGCACUAUCUCUGUAUUAAUCAGAAAGUCUUCAUCUCCAGCAUUGCUUCUGACUGUGUUACUGUACAGUUUAUUUCCCUAUGGUUAGCUGAAAAAAUAAAUAAAAUAAAGCUACUACUUCCUUUCCUACUUAUGCUGCUUUCUAUUAACCCAGUCUUUCUAAACGCAUUUACAGACAUGUCUAUUUUCAUAAUGACAGUGAAAGCUCCUUAAAUAUAAGAAGAAAUUAUCUUCACUUUAUUUUUAGAGGAUCUGCCAAGCAUCUUCCUAUGUUUUUUGCUUUAGCAAUGCCUGUAUUUUUUAAAGGAAGGAUUGAUACAAUUCACACGUCUGUAACCUUAUGGAAGAAAAAAAAAAUAACAAGACACUCCUUUUACACCAUAAGAAUCCCACUGAGAAAAGAACUGUGUCCUAUGUUAAAGGAAGGAAUCAAAUAAUUAAUUGCAUCAAAAGGUACUGAGAGAAAUCCCUGUGGGAUGAAAUGCCACAGAGCAAUAUCACAGCGUGACAGCCACUGGGAGAAACUCAGAGGAGAUCAGAGGCUGCAGAGGUGGAAAACACGAGAGCCACGGGAGAUUUCAGCUCCUCCUCAGAGCAAGUCAUGGCAGGGAGGGUAAAGGUUGAAUUGUCAGACCUGUAAAUAAUAACCUGUUAAAGCCAGGAAUCAGGCAACUCACAAGGAGAGAAGCAGCUCUUGGUUAAGCCUGGAAAGUGCAGUAGGCAUGGAUCAAAACUGAUAAUAACAGCCACAGUGUGUUUGUACACACCCAGUUAGGAGCAAAGGAGCCAAGAAAAUCCUUCUCAUUAAAUCCAGGGAGGCUGCAGGAGAUAAAGAAACCUCACCCUGCUGCCAAGGUCCCAGACAGACUGGAAAUGGAGGAGAAAUGUGUGAGCUCAUCCCCAGCACUGCACAUCUUCAAGAAAAUGCUUGCUGUUAUCCUGCCAGUGAUCUUCAGCUUUGCCUACAGGGAAAAUGAAAUAUGAAGAGGAAAGUCCCAGAGGAAGACUUGUCCUGGCUUGGGAAGAUCAGCUUAGGUUUGCUGCCUUAAAAAAAACCCAAAACCCAAACUUCAGGCAGUAGCAACCUGAAGGAAUUGAAAAUGGUUAGAAAGGCAUUUGAAAUAUUCUUUCUUCUGCUAAGGGAACAGCUGAAAAUGUGACUGUGAAAGCGGUGAAGGAAACAGUGCCUUUUGCCAUAUAUAGAAUAACCCAAACCCCCAGAAAGUUGUGGGGGUUUUCCCCCUAUUUUUUACUUGCUUCACAGUUUCACCUAGUUUCAUAUUUUGGCUGAGUUCUAUAACUAAAAUGAGUAAGAAAUGUCUCAGAACAGAAACAUUUCAUCACAGAUGAAGUUUCUAACACACAUACUUCAAUAUUUUUGAUGACAACUGAAAAAAACUCCAUUGCUUUUGACACUGCACAGGGAGUGUUUUUGUUUGGCCAGCCAUGGGAAAAAAAAACAUACUUUAAAUGUGGAAAUGACCAUUUUGUCCUACCACCAUGGUCUCAAGCUUGUUUGAAGAAGUGAGAAAACAUCAAAAACACAGCAGUGAAAAUAUUACACAUGACUAGACUCAGUACAGAUGGGAUAUCUGCCAUCACUGAGGAAAAAAAAGGGUUGUGCUGCUUUGCUAGAGGAAGGAUUUGGAUGAGAAAUUAUUCAGAACUCCCCCGUGUUAGCCACAGUGGGUUUCUGUGCCAAAAAUGCAGGUUUCUUACAUGUUGAAAAUGCCACUGCCUGAGAAAGUGGAGGGAUUUCAGGAGGUUUGUCUUUUUGGAAAUGCAGAAGAACCUGAAUUGAAAUGGACCUACAAUGAUGUGGAUUAAGAAGAUUUCCUGGGAGUUGGACUUAGUCAACCCUGCAUGUCACUUCCAGCAUAAAAUGUUCUAUGAUUCUGUGAUUUUAUGAAAAUGAGAGGGAUGGGGGGAGUUAAACCUCUGUUGUAUUGGUCACCAGUUUUAAAACUAAUAACUGAGAAAGGCACUGCAAGCCAAAGCAAACAGUGAAGGAGGGUUUGGAAGUGGAGUAGAAAAUCAGAUUUACAAACAUCUGAAUGAAAGCUCUAUCCAAAUUUACGGGUAGUCUUUUUGGACUGAAAUAAAAUUCUGGAUAUGAGAUUAAAUUCUAAGAACUGUGGGUUGUUAUCGAGCAGAGCGACACAGCUCUGGAAAUGCCUCUGCUGUGAUGAUUCACAGAUAGGUGAGGUUACCCUUCCGCUUGCUCAAGAUUUAUAUCAACUUCUUAUUAACCACUGUUUUUAGCCCAAAACAGCUGAGUCCAAGAACUUGAAGUUCAAAGACAAUUCUCUGAUAUCCUGUCGUGGUGGCUGUCACGACAUUCUUGGUAUAAUCAGAACUAUUUGGUGUUAGAAACACAUUAAUGGGCACUGAGAUGCUCAUGGACAGUAACAGAUUGCCCAGAGAGGUUGUGCAGUCUCCAUCCUUGGAGGUUUGCGAGGCCAAGUGAAAAAAUCCAGGUGGGAUCUCAUUGUCAGCCUUGUUUCCAAUCUGAACUGUUUGAUGAAUCUGUGAUUAUUUCUAUGGCUUUGUUGCUUGCUGUAUUUCUUCAGAGAGAUGAAAGAGAAGAUUUAGCCUCCAGACUUGCUCUGGAUUUAUUUUCCAAGUGCUCUGACCACUGGGAAAAUGUCAAAAGGAGUUCUCCUCCAUUAGGGAUCCCCAGCUUUUAAAGAGAAAUCCAGCUUCUUUUCCAUGCAGAAUUUUGUGCUGGGACAUGGUCUUGUCUGUCUUUUUGUGUGGAUUUCUUCCCAUGUGGAUCAAGUCCAGUGGCAUUGAUAUUCCAGGUGAAUUUUUGAAGCUAAGACAGAUGUUCAGAAUCUGUUGAAUGAAGAAAGGCUGCUGUAGGGUAGUUGUAGAGGACUUACAUGCCAGCCCUUCCAGAUGUUUCUGCCACAGAGGUGUGUGAUGCCAACAGAGACAGGAACACUGGAGCAUCCUCAUCCCUGACCAGUCAGGUCUAAGGGAUAUGACUCUGGUUUAGGAUUUGGAACUUCCUCAAACCCCAAGCAGCAUUUUCCAGCUGUUUAGAAGUUAGACUUUUCACCUCACAAGAGGACCAUAUAUAUGGAUAUAUGGACACAGGGAUGUUGUCUUAUACAAUUAGAAUAUAAUUAAUCUCAUCAAUUUUUAUCUUUCUAAAAUUGAGAUGCCUAAUAUGUUUUCAAGCAUAGGCUGUGGCCAGGUGGUCAGUCAUCUCUAGAACACAAUCCUUGGAUCAGCACUUUCCUAAUUUACUGAAACAAUUUCCAUAUUCCACUUUAUAUCCUAGGACUUAUUUUUGGUCAUAGUUUUAAUUUUAUGAAAAUACAUAUAUGCUUGCCAUGCAGUUUUUGAUAUCUCUACAAUUCACAAGACACUGCUUAAGUAAGAAACAAAGAGCUGUGUGUUUAUUCUGAGUGUAUAUCUCAUUCAAGACAGAAAAGCUUUUAUAUGUUAUAAAGCAACCUAAUGACUGGAAGUUAAAACAAGAUUAGGAACAAAGGCUGAUUAUUCUGCAUUUUUCUGGGCAGGAUUUCUUGCCUCUUCCUUCAAAAAUAUUAUCCUGAAAAAGACCUGAUACUGAACUGCCCUGAUGGGUAAUGUAGCCUGGUCUGUCAACUCUUAUAUUUCUUAAAAAAACAAAAGCAGUGUAGCCAGAGAUAGAGGACUCUAAAGUCCUUGAUGAUCUGAUCCCACCAUGGAUCAUGGAAGGCAAAUGAUGGAAAUUGAACACUGGGAUUUCAUCUUUUUCAGCCUGACAGUGUUCACCACGUGCCUUGUUUUUCCUUCUGCACUCAUUCUAAUGCCUUAACCAUAAACGAGCAAUGGCCAGGUGUGAGCAUUGUUCAUCCUUUUGUUCCUGAAAAACAAGGAAGACAUAAAAAGAAAACCACCCCAAACCUACUCUUCAGGUAAACAGCAUUAUCUCCACCAUCAGACCAGACCACAUGUACGUAAAAGGAUGUGUUAUCAAAAAUAUCUGUAAUGGUGACCUUAAAAAAGUACAAGCAGUGCUAAUGAAUUUCUUGUUAUUUUAGAAAGGGACUUUCUUCUCCGUUGGUGCAGAGAGCUUCCUGAAGCAAAAACAAAUGAAUCUUUUCUCUCUUUCUUUUUAAAUGUAAGGUAGAAACAUUUUGACUAAAUUUCUGCUCUGUUGUUUUCUAGUUAUUCAGAGUUAGGAGGAGGUGUUAUCAAUGAUCCUUUAGCCCAGAAAAGAGAAGGGUCUUGGGAGAACUUCAGACACCUUUCAGUAUCGAAGCAAUCUCCAAGAGAGAUGGAAAGGGACUUGGUAUGAGGGCAUGGAGUGACAGAACAAGGGGGGAUGGCUUUAACCUGACAGAGGACAGCAUUAGACUGGAUAUCAGGAAGAAAUUCUUUACUGUGUGUGUAGUGAGCUCUGACACAGAUAUUCCAGAGAAGCUGUGGCUGGCCCAUCUCUGGAAAUGUUCAAGGUCAGGUUGGACAGGACUUGGAGCAACCUGGGAUAGUGGAAGGUGUCCCUGCCCAUGGCAGGGGGAUGGAGCAAAGUGAUCUUUAAAGUCUCUUCCAACCCAAAUGAUUCUGUGAUUCUAAGACAGAUUCCUGUCUUGGCUCAAAGACUGCACAUGGCAUCAAGCAGGAGAACACAGAGACAUCUCUGCAGUUAACAUGAAGGUUUUUGUCAAGAAUUUAUUGUAAUCAAGAGUUUAUAGGUGUUGGGCAAGGGGAACAGCAAGGAAGUGACUUGCCCAUCCACAUUUGGAGUUAGUGGAGGAGCCAAAAUUAGAACAAGGUGCUCUUAGCUGUCUCCCCAGAUGGUGAGAGUUAUCAAUUAGUUCAAGAUUUAAGGCAAUUAACAAAAUUACAGAGGACAUGCACCCAGUGGUAGCCAAUUCCAAUACCCUUUUGACCACACUGAUGGACGAAUUAGGGUGGUUUACUGUUGUAGACCUGAAGGAUGCCUUUUUCUGCAUUCCUGUGCACAAAACCUGCCAAGAUAUAACCCAAAAUAUAAAGUGUUAGCAAAUUCUCUUCACAAAAGACAAAACAAUAACUUUCCAGCCUGAGAACAAAGGACUCCGCUGCAGCUUCAGGCCUAAAAAGUGUAAACAACAGUGAAUUGGGGAGAACAAUCUGGGAGGAUGGGACUGCAUAAACUGAAGCUGUAAUUGGACAAUUAACCCCAACAUGUAAAUGGACCAAAACUUAUUAAAGUGUGAAAACCCAUGUCUGGUCAUCCAUCUUGGAUGUAGCCACAACCAGGCUCUUGUACUGCUCAAGGUGUAUCCUUUGAAGGCCUUUUAAAUAAAUGCUUACUUUAUUCCUUUAACUCUGUCUAGCCUCUGUUCCAGGCAGCCUCUCAAGGCAUCAUGGGCUCCUUCUGGUGCUUGUUGCCUUUGGCAGCUGGUCCUUCUCAUGAAGCUCUCCCUCUCUUAGCUCCUCUGGUUUCCCAUGUAGUGGAAUUUCCCAUUUGUUGGUUAUGAUUUCUCAUUUCAAAGCUCCACACUGGAGCUGGAUGUUGUCAGAAUGGAGCAUUCCAAGGGCAGAGCCAGGCUGUGCCACCAUGGGGAGCUCACAGCAAUGCCUGUGACAAUCAGUGAGUGCCAGCAGCUCUGCUCAGACAAUGUCACUUUUUGGGGAGUGUGAGAAGCUGAGGUUUGGCUGUGCAUGGACAUUUGAGAUGCCACAGCAACCAGGAUGCAAACCCAGUUGCAUUAAAUGGGUGAAGUUACUGUCUUUGUACAAAUAUUUAAUUUUUGAAUUUUCUUGAUCCCAUUAAAGAGGGGUGAUACGGAUGUAAUCAUCUUGGUGAAUACUGAACAGCCAAGCAGGUAGAUACUAUAAUUCUAUUAUGAUUUAUUUUUUCAUAUUAUCUUUCAUCUAUUCUUUUAUAGUCUAAGCUGCACAUAUCUGGCAGAGCAUCUGGAGUACUUUCCACUUCUAACUUUAAACGACCUGACAAAAACACUCCAAACUGGGGAAGCUCAGUGUCUGUCUUUUAUUAGUCACAUCACAUAUUCAGGUUUUCCACUUGCUCACUGUGAAAACGGCUAAUGAGAUGUUUUUUGAGUGCUAUGCUUUGUAUCAUGCAGGUGACAGAUACAAUGAAGAUGGUCAUGAGGGCAUCUGAGCGAGGGGCAGUCUGGCUGAUAGGAAGUAAAUCAGCCCUGGAAAUUGUCCUCUCUUUGUUCCUUCAACACAAGUGACAUCAGCCUCUGUGGGGCAUGGGGACAUGUGAGACUCUACCCAAAAUAUUCUCACUUUCAAAGACUUACUUAAUAAUUCCCUAUAUUAAAAGUAAGUCAAACUCAAGAUGAGGGAAUGUUGAUCUCUACAAAUAGAAACUAGGAAUAAAAAAAAUUAGGAGCUGGAACCAUCCACCUGAGGACAGAGCCUAAAAUUAUAAGAUUGUUUAAUGCCUUCUUCAGAGGACUGUAUAGGGUUAUGGUUAUCACCAUGCAGGGAUCAAAAUAGACAGGACUUCAGAAGGGCUGAACUGUGAUAAUCAGAGGUAUCAAUAGAGAAGAGGGCAAGUGUACAUCCAGGAGAGAUAUAAAAGAUCCCUCAUGCUGUUUUUUUAUCUGAUUUCCUGCCUGCAGUGUCACUGUACCCUUUCAAAGCACAAGACCAGCCCAUAGAUGGUGGAAUUCUGCUGGAUAAAGGUGACCUCCAGCAAAAUUUGCACAGUUGGUACAGUUGGUAAAUACAAUCAGAUUCUAAGCUAAUUGCACUCACUGUGUGAGCUCAGCAUUUUGGGGUAAGGACCCCUUUUCAGCACUGAAUGUCCUUAAGUUACAGUGAGCUUUGUCCUGAUCUCUGGGAGAAAGUUUGAGGCCAUUUGCCCCACAUGAAUGAUUCCUCUGCAACCUCCAAAGCCAUCCACCACGUAGUUCCCUCAGUUGGACAGAUGCAGGUGAUGAAAUAAGUUCUGGCUAUAAAAUGUGCACAGUUUCAUUCCUUAGGGUCAGAGGAGAACUUCCUCAGGACAAGAGUACUUGUGUUGAACAGCCUGAUAAAUAGCUGCUGUUUUUUUGGAAGAACAGUUCCAGGGUAUGAAAUAUGAUCUGAUUUAUGGAAAUAACUCCUGUAUUUCAUUAGCAUGUUUUACAGUCAGCUUGAUCCUGUUCUAGGUCACCUUCCUCUUUCCUUUUCCUCUCAGCAGUAGAGAGGCAUUGACCAUCAGAGGCCCUGAACAGAACAGAACAGGUGUUUGGACUCAUGUGGACACCUUGGACCUUUCCAUACUACAGAUUUGCCAGCUGCAGUCCAUUACUUUCACCUUUAAUUGCAUUACCCUUCAAGACUGAAAUUGUCUAGAAUCCAGGCCCAAACCUGCUGUGCUCCAGCAUUUAUAAACUGUGCACAAGAGUCAGAAAGAUGGUGAGGCUGGUGACAGGGUCUGGAUCCAGGAUAACUGACAAAUUUCUGGCUCAUCUGAUUGAAAACAUUAAACCUGGUGGUAAGGAAGUUGUUUUUGCCGAGGUCUCUAAGCACUGGGAGACUGUUAUGGACACCAAAGCAACACAGGGCAAUGUUUGGUGCUAAUUAUAGCAGGCAGAGUUUGUUCCUGGCAAUUGAGUGCCAGCUGGGAGGUUUGGUGGGUAUCCUCAAACCAAAUGUGUCAUCUGCAGCAUUUGGGUGUUCACAGCCAGUGCAGUGAAGCAGCCACUUGACAGUGGAGCUCAUUUCACCCCAAUGCAGGCAUCAGAAAUAGGUCAUCUGAGCUGCUGCUUCUCCUCUCCUUUCACUGUGGCAGCAGACGGGUGACUAACUCAAAAGUCUGUGUCUACACCAACAUCUCAUUAACUGACAAAAUGUGAAAACCACCUUGUUGAUCCAAAAUUCUUUUCUCAUCUUGUCUCAGCAGUUGAGCUCCCUCAGGAGAAAGACACAAUGUACCCUGGAAUCCUCACAGGCCUUUCAAGUUACUCAGAGCUUUGCACCUCGAUCAUCCAUCAUCUCAUGGUCAGGGAAACCUUAGAGCAGCAUUCCAGUAUCUAAAGGAGGCUCACAAGGGGGCUGAAGAGGCAAUUCUCACAAGGUAUGGAGUGAUAGGACAAGGGGAAAUGGCCUUAAGCCAAAGGACAGUUAAGUUGGAUUGAUAUUAGGAAGAACUUCUUUACUGUGAAGGUGGUGAAGCACUGGAACAGGAUUCUUUUGACUCCCCAUCCCUGGAGGUGUUCAAGGCCCAGUUGGACAGGGCUUGGAGCAACCUGGGGUAGUGGAAGGUGGCACUACCCACAACAGGGAGGUGGAAAUGGGAUGAUCUUUAAGGUGCCUUUCAACCCAAACCAUUGUGUGACUCUAUAAUUGCAUAAUUUGAUAAUCCAAAGAUCCCAUCCCCACCCCACCCUUCUCCACUGCACAAAUAGUGCUCGGUCAAUGAAAAUGGUUUUAGGUUAACUGCACCAAAACAGGCCAUGGAGAUCUGACCCAAUGGAAAGGGUACCCACCAGUGAGCUGUUUUUUUAAUAUCUCACCUAUAAUUUUCUGUCUUCGAGUGUCCAGCUCUGCUGAACAUCAGUGCUCCCUCAUUAAUUCAUAAUUAUCCCAUUUUAGUUUGCCUCAUCUACAACUACUUGAAUACUGGUGUCACUGGAGUAUUUGAGGACCACUGAACAUACAUUAGAGAAAUGCCCUACAAAAAAUCCUACAGCAAUCACAGGAAAUCAUGGUUUCAAAAUUCUGUCCCAAAUCAUCAGGUCUGACUUCUGUAACAAAUCUCAGCCUGAGUUACUCUGGCAAUAAUUGGAAGGAUUGUACUUAAUUCUGUAAGAAGAGGAUUUGGGAUUCAUCACAAAGAUGUUGAACAAAGUCCUGAGCCUCACUAGAAGCAAAGAAACAAGGCAUGAACCCUUAUUCUGCACUGAAUGAAAGGGUCAGGUUGAAUAAUUUCUGCUCAAGAAGGAAAAACUCCUAUUAUUUUCUGUUUCUUUAGCCUGGCUAAAGCAAAAUGCAUUCUGAGCUUUCUACACAGCUUUUCAUUUUCUCACUCCGUACUUGUUUCCUGAGUACCACACCAAUUUUUACACUUGAACACCAACUUUUCUUGGAUAGUGGAUAGAUCUAGAAAUUUUCCAAGUUACUCAAGCUGAAGAACUUCUCUAAAUAGUUCCCACUACUAUUUGCAUUUAGAACUUCUAAUUUUUUGCAUUUCUAUAAGUAAUCUUCAAAAUCCAUCCAGCUCAGAAGGUUUUUUUUCACUCCCAGGGUAAGGCACUACAUUAGGGUCUAGGACCUGAAAUGAAACUGUUUGCUUUUAAUUUCUGUGGCAGGGAAUUUAGCCCCAGUUCUUGGAACAUCUACAUCAGCUUCCUAUGAAGUGGUAAAUUCACAGCUGACUCAACAAAAUUCAUGAAGAUAAGAUUAACUGUGCUUUUACUGAACUAAAGGAAGGCACUGAGCUCUGCCUUUCUAAACAGAAGCAUCUACCCAGCCCAUGAAGGUAAAGAAGAUGCAGAAAGGUGCCUUCUGACAUGCAGCAGAAAGAUUUCCAAUGGUGAUCUUCAACCAUGGGAAGUUCACUUGGCAAUUUAAGGGCCAAAGGUGGAAUGGCAAUAGUGGGAUGUGCCAAACUGAGCAUUGAAACUUGCUCACAUUUUUAGAUGCCUCUGAUAAAGGGGAUGUGCCCUAUUUAAAUAGUCCCUAGACUCCAGUGCUGGAAGGAGAUUUGAGGGUUCAUCUAGUCCAUGCCUAGAUGAUCUUCAUCACUACCACUGCUAAGGCUCUUACCUUGUCCCCUUCUCCAUCAUCAUUCCUCAGACAUCUUCAAGUUAUUUGGUUCUUUCUUUUGGAAAAGGUUUUCUAGACCCUUUUCUCAUUCCCACUGCUGCUCCACGCUUUUCUCAGUGUGCAGUGCCCACAAGUAGGGGCAGCAUCCUCCAUGGCUUCACUGUCACAACACAAAACAAGGGAUUUCUUUGCAUGUGCUGCACAGUUCAGGGUUAGAUUUAAGUUUUUAAUGUAUGGCAUUGCCAGCUGGUCUUCAUCAUCAGGGAACUGCUGGAAAUACUGAAUAACCAAAGACUCACCUUUCAGUGCAUCCUUCUCUUCUGGCAGUUAAUCAGUGCCUCUCAAUAUGACCUUCCAUUUGACACAGUUUUGAACCAUUUUAAGGGCACUUUUCAGGGAUUUUCCAAUAAAUUUCAUACUGACUUCAUAAUUCAUCUAGAUUAUAUUUCCAUAACUUUACAGAUAGUAUAAAAAUUAUUACUGAAAUCAAGCAAAGAAAUGGUAUUUUGGGUAAGAAGCUUACUGCAGGGUUAAAUAGACUUGAUUUACUAUAACUUCCUGGUAAUAAAAGAAGAGGAGGAGCAAAUAUGACCAUGCAAUAAUACACUUCAUUUUCCAGUUUCUUUUUUUUUUUCCCUCAGGCCAAGGGAAUGGUGAUUGCAAAUAAGAAUAGGAAGGAAUUUAUCUGUACUACUCAGCUGUAUUUGCAUGGGGAAGUAUUAAGGAACCCAGUCUAGGCACUGGUGUGUUAAGAACUCACUACAUGGAAACUAAAGAGUUUUUCAUAUUCCUCACAUAUUUAUCUCACAACUCAGCAUCAAAGAAAGGAACAGUUAAUAUUAGCCAUGAUGACCCAUAUCCAGGAUGUUUGGCAGAAAAGACUGUUCUCAGUCACUAAACAAUCAAUUUAAAUUCUGUUUUCAAAGUCAGUAUGGAUUUUCAGGAUGGAUUUGUCUCAUCCAGCUGAGGCUACCUAGAAGACCUGUUGUGCUGGUUUAACAGUUGCAUGCAGAUGGAAGGGAGAGAAGGAGAGAAGAUAACAGUGACUCAUCUGGUGGAUGUAGAUGUUCAGAAGACGAGCUGUUCAUCCUUCAGGAGCUCAGCUGUGAUUCAGAGAAACUGCACACAUGCUUCCAUCCAACCCAAAUGCAGUAUGGCUUUAUCACCACUAACAGAAGACCUCUGAAACCCAAAAGGAUAAGCCAUGGAACCUUUUCUUUGCUGGUAGAGCCCACAGAGGUUGUCUGAGAUCCAUUGUCACACACCACACAUCUAUUCCACAGCCCUGGUUCCCUCUCUAAUACCUCUUCAGCCACAGAUUUGGGGCUGAGUGCCUGAACAAACCUAUUGAAGUCUUCCUGCUUCUACUGACCUCAGCUGUAGUGAAAUGUGAAAGAGCUCUGGAGCCAGGAGCUCUGAUGUGUCAAACCACUUCCUAUACACAAUGGCACGCUCUGCCACAGCGAGCAUUGAGUUUGGUUUCCUGGAUAACAGACUAAUACUUGAACAGAAAGCAGCCUUUGUUCUUUCCCGUGGAGCCAGCAAAACAAUGAUUUGCUGACCAAAGCCCUCGCUGCACACGUGGGGGAUGCUCCCAGACAGCUUCAUCAGGCAGUAAUCAGCUCCUUGGCUUAGCUGGCAACAGCUCAUCACUUCUGAGAAACUUCACCAUCCUCAGAGGUGUGGAGAAAAGAUGGGGACAAGUCCCAUGGAGACCAAGUGGCUUUUGAUGUGGCUCUUGCUUGGAUUUGUCAAGGGGAACGGGCCAGGAGCAUGCCCACGUCUUCCACCGAGUGAAUUUGCUGAUGUUACUGCCGACAUGUAUCCAGUACAGACCAGACUGUACUAUGUGUGUGACCCUGGCUAUGACAGAGAAGCUGGUGUAUACCUAGGAAUUCAGUGUAAGAGUGGACAGCAGGGUGCUGUUUGGGAAUUCCAACAUUUUAAAUGCAUUGAAAUUAAAAAUUCAUCAGCAAUGGCUUCCAAGACAGAGUUAGAACUUACACAGAAGCCAGAAAUAGAACCAACGAGCCCUGCACCCCAGAAGCAAGAAGACCUUUCAGAGUCCAAACAAAAAGAUUUCUGUGGUCCUCCCAAGACUGUUCCACAUGCCUCCAUAAAGCUGCCCCAAACGCAUUACGUGGGACAAGUCUUACAUUUCAAAUGCCAGGCGGGUUAUGAUAAGAGACCCCCCACCUCUGGCAGCAGGACGUGCAAGGAGGUGGAUGGCAGAACCUUCUGGACCCCCCUUGAUAUGAGAUGCACCAAUGACACCAACCAGUGGCCACCACAGACCAUUGGGCCAGGUUUGAGUCUUCUGUCCUCUUUCCCUUCCUCAUCAGGGACACUGCCAGUGACAGCUAUCUGGUUUGUUCUGCUUAUCAUUCCCACUGCCUUUGUGUGACUCACCAAGCAGCCGAUAAGGGAAGACUUCUCAGGGAAUUGUGGCAUUCAGAUGCAAACUUGUGAAAUUAAUGAUUUGCCACCAGAAGAAACCAGAUUGCACCAGUGACCCCAAGACUAGCAAUGGCAAACGAGGAGGAAGCCUGGACACCCAAAUCCAAUGUGUGAAGGUGGCAGAAGAUGUUACAGCUCAACUCUUAUGGGGACAGCAUGACUUUCCACCUACAGAGUGUUGGUAGGAGGACUGCACCCCAUCACUCACUGCUGGGGAAAGAGCCCUGCCUGAAGCUGCUUCCCAAACCCACUUCUCCUCCUCCUACGACACAGCAGAUGUAUUUCUAAUAUAACUGCAGCCCCUCCCAAGCCACCAGGAGUACAUAUGGACAAUUCUCCCAAGCACAUUGAAUGGUGCCACUGUCAUUUCAGCCCACACACCAUCCUCCCCACAAACAGAGCAGCUUUGCUGGACACCUGAUGUCCCCCUGCCUCUUCCCCACCCAGGUGGGGCAAGCGCAGGCACACUUUUCUCCUCAAAUUGUUCCCCUUGGAAAUUAAACCCCUUCACCCCCUGCACUGCAGCUGAAAAUCUGACUGGAUUCCCUUAUGGUUUGCUAUAUACAUGCAUUCCUCAUCACUCCCCUCUUCCCAGUUAUUUUGGAUUUGUGCCUUCCAUGACAGUUCCUCCAUCAUUCCUCCAGCUCAGACAAGGAUGAUGCAGAUCGUGGUGGCCAAUUAAUUUGACAGCUCCUUUUGUAGCUGCAGAGAGUGAGAGAGCCCAGCACAAAGGCAUCUGAGGACAGGCUCAAGCACACAUAAUACUUGACAUGUUCUUGUACUAUUGGGAAUUUGGAUAUUCUUCUGCCUCUUUUUAGCCACGCUCAUCUGGGACAGCACGAGACAAAGGGUUCAUUUAAUGCAAUCUGAACCCUUGGUGUUAUUGGAAAAGGACCAAGAAAGCUGCAUGAUCCAACACUUUGCUGUGAAGAGGCUUGAGGUUGCAGUGUGUCUUCACAGCUCCCAGCAAAAAUAAUUUUUCCUUAGUGGCUAAAAUCCCUGUGACACACUGGAGCCCAGAGCUCUCCCCAAAGAUGGACAGACACAGAGCAAACUGCAAAGUUACCCGGCCAUGUCAAUGCAGCUGCAUCUUCCAAGGGAACACAGGUGCUUGCCACCCCAGCGUGGGCAUGGAGCAGCUCUGGCCUCAGCAAAGGGCUCCAUCCCUAUUCCCUGUUCACAGCAGGCUCAGCAGAAAGCAGAGGCCAUCCCAGCUGAAAGGUGCCUGGCAGCAGGCUUGUGGAGCUGGGGCAGCCCUCUGCUCAGCUCCAAGCUGGGUUCCUGUGAGAAGCAACUCUAAGACCUGUGGGAAGACACCAGCCAGGCUGAUCCUUUGUUUUGUGUUUUCCAGCUAUUUCACCUCCUGCUGUGGAAGGCAGGGCAUUUCUGCCAAGGUGGCAGAGGACUCUCUAAUGCGUCUGCUAUAGUCUGAGAAUGGCUAUGUUUAUAGGAUCUCCAGGAAGGAAGAUGUGUGGGAUUUCCCAUACAGGGUUGAGAUGGAGUUUGUCCAGGAGAUCUGCCAGCACUUGUAUUUCUCCAGAGAAAUUUUGCACUGUCUGGGGAGAGGUUUUGGUAUUCACAAUGCUCUCACUCCCCUCUAAUUAAAAUAUUUGAUGUUAGUUCUCAAGGUGACUAGGCUUGAGUUUUUUCUUAAGAAAUAAACUAAGCAAAUGCAGGGAAAUGUAAACCCUGUUGUGAUUGCAGUACUGGGGAAAGGGAAUUCUGAAUUGACUCAGAUGAUUCCUUUCUCUGUUGGGCUUUACAAGCUUGCUGUGCAGGGCAGGGCAUUUCUAGGUACUGCCAUGAGUAAAGGCCCUGGGAAGAGCCUGGGAAGUUCAUAAAGCAGGGACUGAUGGACAUGAUCAAUCAGCCAGUGGUUCCAGAGCCUGGAAAUUGAGGGCAGUGGGCAUGGUAUGAGUAAUGGUGAGGAUGAGUGUGGUCUCAAGCCCCAGCCAAUGGGCAGAGGUGGGUGAGCAAGUCAGAGGGAGCCAUACCCUGAGGUACAGCAGAG